UACGAGGGGGGCAAGCGUUGUUCGGAGUUACUGGGCGUAAAGGGUGUGUAGGCGGUUCUCUAAGUUUGGUGUGAAAUCUCCCGGCUCAACUGGGAGGGUGCGCCGAGAACUGGGGGGCUAGAGUGCGGGAUGGGAGAGUGGAAUUCCUGGUGUAGCGGUGAAAUGCGUAGAUAUCAGGAGGAACACCUGUGGUGUAGACGGCUCUCUGGACCGCAACUGACGCUGAGACACGAAAGCGUGGGUAGCAAACAGG
RNAcentral lists this ribosomal RNA (253 nucleotides) under uncultured bacterium. Its description in RNAcentral is "partial 16S ribosomal RNA". It matches the Rfam family "Bacterial small subunit ribosomal RNA", at positions 524 to 776 of the family's 1533-position model. The record is from RNAcentral.